CUUCGAUUCGUGAAAAUUCUAUUCAUUAUAUCCGCGGUCGUUGAAUAAUAAGUUCAUAAAUUUGAAAUAUACGUAAAAAAAACCAUCUCAGAUCCCAUAAUUACCUCCAGCGUCUCUUCGGCACAACGAUACCCAUCAAAAACCAUCCAUUUGCACAUCGGCGGUCUUUUGACCCCCGUAAUCGAUAGCUAUCGUCCACUACUGGUUGAGCAGAGUGUUGGUCACCUCAGAGAUGGACAGCAAAGGACUCCCGGUGUCCGGCUUUGGAUCUGCGGGCCCAUUAUUUGACCCACAACGUGAUGAUGGUGGUGCCCCGGAUGGUAGGAUACGGUGUUGUUGUUGUUGUUGUUGUUGUUGUUGUUGCUGUUGCUGCUGCUGGUUGUGAUGCUGGUGGACGUGAUGCUGUUGCUGCUGGUGUUGUUGCUGCUGCUGGUGGUGCUGCUGCUGCUGGUGGUGGUGGUGGUGGUGGUGAAAGGGCCGAGGCAGGCCAAUACAUAAAAAUAAGAUAAAUUUCAGACUCCGGCGACGCGGUGAUGAAUGGCGGGAUGAAUCAUUGAAUGGUUAAACACACAUAGCCGCUGAGCGCCGCUCUUCCCGUUCGUACACGCCCGAGGAGUAGGACCUCGCGGGGAUACGCGAGAGGAGGAUAGUUUGAAGAAAAUAAAAGAAAAUUAAAUAGAGAUGAGAAAUAAGGUGGAAAAAGUUCACCUACUCUGGAAAAAAAAGGUAGACGAAAAUUCCAACGUCUCCUUCAUUCGUAUUAUUCGUUGUAG
This 773-nucleotide unclassified non-coding RNA is filed under the name Athalia rosae (coleseed sawfly). Its description in RNAcentral is "misc RNA ENSAEAG00005008468.1". Lineage: Eukaryota; Metazoa; Arthropoda; Insecta; Hymenoptera; Athaliidae. The record is from RNAcentral.